GCAUGAAGUCGGAAUUGCUGUAAUCGCGGAUCAGCAUGCCGCGGUGAAUACGUUCCCGGGCCUUGUACACACCGCCCGUCACACCAUGGGAGCCGGUAAUACCCGAAGUCAGUAGUCCAACCUCGUGAGGACGCUGCCGAAGGUAGGAUCGGCGACUGGGGUGAAGUCGUAACAAGGUAUC
This 181-nucleotide ribosomal RNA is filed under the name uncultured bacterium. Its description in RNAcentral is "partial 16S ribosomal RNA". It matches the Rfam family "Bacterial small subunit ribosomal RNA", at positions 1318 to 1500 of the family's 1533-position model. The record is from RNAcentral.